This 69-nucleotide transfer RNA is filed under the name Marmota monax (woodchuck). Its description in RNAcentral is "tRNA.Ala". The record is from RNAcentral. Lineage: Eukaryota; Metazoa; Chordata; Mammalia; Rodentia; Sciuridae.
AACUCUAUAGCUCAGUGGCAGAGCACUUACCUAGCAUGUGUGAGGCCUGGGGUUUGAUCCCUAGGGCUG